AUCCAGCUGACGAUUCCUAAAAUAGGACGAAACGCGUGUGCUGGAU
Schistosoma rodhaini is the source of this 46-nucleotide non-coding RNA. The record is from Rfam. Lineage: Eukaryota; Metazoa; Platyhelminthes; Trematoda; Strigeidida; Schistosomatidae.